UACGUAGGGUGCGAGCGUUGUCCGGAUUUAUUGGGCGUAAAGAGCUCGUAGGCGGUUUGUCGCGUCUGCCGUGAAAGUCCGGGGCUCAACUCCGGAUCUGCGGUGGGUACGGGCAGACUAGAGUGAUGUAGGGGAGACUGGAAUUCCCGGUGUAGCGGUGAAAUGCGCAGAUAUCGGGAAGAACACCCGUGGCGAAGGCGGCACUCUGGGACGGUACUGACGCUGAGACGCGAAAGCGUGGGGAGCGAACAGG
Molecule: ribosomal RNA, 253 nt
Filed under: uncultured bacterium
Lineage: Bacteria
Description: partial 16S ribosomal RNA
Rfam family: Bacterial small subunit ribosomal RNA
Source: RNAcentral